Molecule: ribosomal RNA, 444 nt
Filed under: uncultured bacterium
Lineage: Bacteria
Description: bacterial SSU rRNA
Rfam family: Bacterial small subunit ribosomal RNA
Source: RNAcentral
UAAGGAAUAUUGGACAAUGGGGGCAACCCUGAUCCAGCCAUGCCGCGUGAAGGAUGAAGGCCCUCUGGGUUGUAAACUUCUUUUGUACGGGAAUAAACCCCUCUACGUGUAGAGGGUUGAAUGUACCGUAAGAAUAAGGAUCGGCUAACUUCGUGCCAGCAGCCGCGGUAAUACGAAGGAUCCAAGCGUUAUCCGGAUUUAUUGGGUUUAAAGGGUGCGUAGGCGGGCUAUUAAGUCAGUGGUGAAAGCCCCAAGCUUAACUUGGGAAUUGCCAUUGAUACUGAUGGUCUUGAGUACACUUGAGGUGGGCGGAAUGUGUCAUGUAGCGGUGAAAUGCUUAGAUAUGACACAGAACACCGAUUGCGAAGGCAGCUCACUAAAUUGUAACUGACGCUGAGGCACGAAAGCGUGGGGAUCAAACAGGAUUAGAUACCCCCGUAGUCC